AAUCAACGUUGGCGGCGUGCCUAACACAUGCAAGUCGAACGCGAAAGCCCCGCAAGGGGUUAGUAGAGUGGCAAACGGGUGAGUAACACGUGGGUGACCUGCCUUCGAGUGGGGGAUAACGUCCCGAAAGGGACGCUAAUACCGCAUAAUAUCCUGCCUUUUAAGAGGUGGACAUCAAAGCUGGGGAUCGCAAGACCUAGCGCUUGAAGAGGGGCCCGCGCCUGAUUAGCUAGUUGGUGGGGAAUGGCUCACCAAGGCAACGAUCAGUAUCCGGCCUGAGAGGGCGGACGGACACACUGGGACUGAGACACGGCCCAGACUCCUACGGGAGGCAGCAGUGGGGAAUUGUUCGCAAUGGGCGCAAGCCUGACGACGCAACGCCGCGUGGAGGACGAAGACCUUC
RNAcentral lists this ribosomal RNA (403 nucleotides) under uncultured bacterium. RNAcentral describes it as "bacterial SSU rRNA". It matches the Rfam family "Bacterial small subunit ribosomal RNA", at positions 32 to 419 of the family's 1533-position model. The record is from RNAcentral.